CUUCUAGUACACGCUGAAAUCAAAUCAAACACAAGUGCUAAUUGUGAGUACUAUCUUGUACUAUCUUGUGUUACAAGAUAGUACAAGUAUACUAAAAAUAUCUAGUUUAAAAAAAAAGUCACCAACCGAAGACCAAGAUGUGGUACUUGAUUGAUUAUGUGCAGCUGGGAGUCAACAUAUUGUAGAAGAUGAAGAUGAACUAUGAACAGUAUUCCAAAAUUCCGAUUGUAUUAAAGAUGUAGUGGGAUAUAUCGGUGGAUUUUUGGUGAGAUCCAUUUUAAAGCGUAUUCGGUGUGAAGUUUGUGCUAAAGAAAUAAAAUCACAUGAAACAAAUUCACUAUUACUGAAUAAAAAAAAAUAUUGGCGGGCUUACAAUGGCCAAUGCUGAUGUAGUUAGUAUAUGUCAGGUAGCAAAACGUACUGUAAAGGAAUAGCUUUACGUACUAUAUAAUAUAAUGUAUAUGUAGGUAACCGGUUCACAUAUUAGUGUAUAAGUGUUAUUCUACUCGCAGAGGCAGUUCUCCUCGAGUUGUUAUGGUCUCUUAGACGUAACCUCAUAGUUAGAACCACAUUCUAUUUUGGCAAGCUAAUCAAGAGGAGCGGGCAACAACAAGUUAUCAUUACGAGGCGGCGGUUGCGAGAAUAACAACUUAUUGAACCAGCUACAUCCACUUCAAGGACAUCCUGUCCACGCGCAGGAUCCAUCAAAGGAACCGACAUCAUAUAUAGGAGGGCUGGGAACACAGUAAAGACAGAUGUACCUGGACCAGCAACACAGAAGCGACUUCAUGCCACUAGCCAUAUACAGGACUACUACUACUACUACUAUUACCACGACGAUAUUAUACAUUUCAUUCUGUUAUAAUAAAAACAUUGCAUUUAUAAAUCUAAUUUGACUACUAUUAUUUUCAAAUCAUCUACAUAGUGAAUCCCUGAAGGGGCAGCACGUAACACUGGCGCAGUCGGUAGGAUAUUCAUUCAAAGGAGGCAACCGUCAAAGGCUACAGUCAACAAGGAGGAAUUGAUCACUCUUUCAAGGCGACAACUCUGCAGAAGAACCCACACAAAACAAAUAAGUCACAUUGCAGCACCAUCAAAUUCAUCAGCAUCAAGGAACACCGCUUUAUUGUAAUCAAAAUUGUAUAUUGUUAUGUAUUCUAAAAAAAAACAAAUGCAACAAAAUGUAAUUAAAUAAGUAUUGUAAAUUACAUUAUAAUUGUAAAAUGUCAUAAAAUAUGUAUAAAAAAUUGUAACCUAUUAUAACAGAAUUGUAAAUGUAAAACAUAUAUAUAUCAAUUAUUGUAACUUGUUAUAAACAAGAUUGUAAUGAAAUGUAAAUAUUAUAACAAAUUGUAAAUGUAAAUGUAUAUCAAAAUUGUAAAAUCGACUACUGUUGACUUAAAUAUCAUUGUUAAAGAUUCUUAGCCUUACAGGCUAAUAAUCUUUUUUUUGGCAGGGAGGUGUAAAGGAAUAGCUUUACGUACUAAUAUAAUGUAUAUGUAGGUAACCGGUUCACGUAUUAGUGUAUAAGUGUUAUUCUACUCGCAGAGGCAGUUCUCCUUGAGUUGUUAUGGUCUCUUAGACGUAACCUCAUAGUUAGAAACCACAUUCUAUUUUGGCAAGCUAAUCAAGAGGAGCGGGCAACAAAAAGUUAUCAUUACGAGGCGGCGGUUGCGAGAAUAACAACUUAUUGAACCAGCUACAUCCACUUCAAGGACACCCUGUCCACGUGCAGGAUCCAUCAAAGGAACCGACAUCAUAUAUAGGAGGGCUGGGAACACAGUAAAGACAGAUGUACCUGGACCAGCAACGCAGAAGUGACUUCAUGCCACUAGCCAUAUACAGGACUACUACUAUUACUACUAUUACCUCGACGAUAUUAUACAUUUCAUUCUGUUAUAAUAAAAACAUUGCAUUUAUAAAUCUAA
Molecule: long non-coding RNA, 1928 nt
Organism: Metopolophium dirhodum (rose-grain aphid)
Lineage: Eukaryota; Metazoa; Arthropoda; Insecta; Hemiptera; Aphididae
Exons: 2
Source: RefSeq, a predicted model, not a curated record